RNAcentral lists this ribosomal RNA (637 nucleotides) under Crypticus quisquilius. RNAcentral's name for it is "eukaryotic LSU rRNA". It matches the Rfam family "Eukaryotic large subunit ribosomal RNA", at positions 670 to 1262 of the family's 3401-position model. The record is from RNAcentral. Lineage: Eukaryota; Metazoa; Arthropoda; Insecta; Coleoptera; Tenebrionidae.
GGAGUCUAGCAUGUGCGCGAGUCAUUGGGAAAUAACUAAACCUAAAGGCGCAAUGAAAGUAAAAGUCCGCCUCGCGCGGACUUAGGGAGGAUGGGUGAUCAGGUUCGUCCGUCGCCUCGCACUCCCGGGGCGUCUCGUUCUCAUUGCGAGAAGAGGCGCACCUAGAGCGUACACGCUGGGACCCGAAAGAUGGUGAACUAUGCCUGGUCAGGACGAAGUCAGGGGAAACCCUGAUGGAGGUCCGUAGCGAUUCUGACGUGCAAAUCGAUCGUCGGAACUGGGUAUAGGGGCGAAAGACUAAUCGAACCAUCUAGUAGCUGGUUCCCUCCGAAGUUUCCCUCAGGAUAGCUGGCGCUCGUUGCGUACGAGUUUCAUCCGGUAAAGCGAAUGAUUAGAGGCAUUGGGGUCGAAACGGCCUCAACCUAUUCUCAAACUUUAAAUGGGUGAGAUCUCCGGCUUGCUCGAACUAUUGAAGCCGCGAGACUCGAAUCAGAGUGCCAAGUGGGCCAUUUUUGGUAAGCAGAACUGGCGCUGUGGGAUGAACCAAACGCCGAGUUAAAGCGCCUAAAUCGACGCUUAUGGGAUACCAUGAAAGGCGUUGGUAACUUAAGACAUCAGGACGGUGGCCAUGGAAGUC